This is a long non-coding RNA of Mytilus californianus (California mussel), 697 nucleotides long. RefSeq lists it as uncharacterized. The transcript has 2 exons. NCBI's taxonomy places the organism in Eukaryota, Metazoa, Mollusca, Bivalvia, Mytilida, Mytilidae. The record is from RefSeq and is a predicted model, not a curated record.
UAUCUCAUUUAUGCGAACUGAACAGGUUGUGCAAGAAGAUGCACUCGGAACUCCUUGGAUUUAUUCGAUACAAGCUCCAACAAAUGGUAGCGAUUAAUACAAAAAUCGGAAAUAUUCCGAAAGUUUCCAUGUUGAUUUUUUAAGAAGAUCUGAAAGAAAAUAUAGUUUCUAUGGCAAAGACAUUUGAGGUCGUUGUUUAAUGGUUAAAACAUAUGUGAUGAAAGGCUAAUACAAAACACAGACAACUAGAGCUUCUACUGCUGCACUGAUAAAAGUGCACGAAUGUUUGAAUGUCAUUAUUGCCUUGUUAACCUUGCAGUAGCACUGCCUAGAUUUGGUUGCAAACAACAUCACUGCCUAGGUAUGGUAGCGAAACAAUAUUACUACUAAGGUAUGGAGGCGAAAUAACAUUACUGCAAACAUAUGGUGGCGAAACAUCACCACUGCCUUAUAGUGAUAUAUGAUGAACUGUGUUAUUCUUUGCAUGGAAAGUUGAAUACAUUAAGUAAUCUUUCAUGUUUUGAUACAGGUUUGGAGCAAACCAUUUUUACAUUCAAAAGUGAGAAAUAUAAAUCUCUGAUGGGGAAAUAUGACAAAGACUACAUUCAUUUCUGACAAACAACUGUUACAUACUUUAUAGUAGCAUUUUAUUGAAUUUAUUUAUUUAAUGCUGAAAAAUAAAACUUACGGAAAAAUC